RNAcentral lists this ribosomal RNA (512 nucleotides) under uncultured bacterium. Its description in RNAcentral is "bacterial SSU rRNA". It matches the Rfam family "Bacterial small subunit ribosomal RNA", at positions 25 to 518 of the family's 1533-position model. The record is from RNAcentral.
CAGAACGAACGCUGGCGGCGUGCUUAACACAUGCAAGUCGAACGCGAAAGGGACUUCGGUCCUGAGUAAAGUGGCGCACGGGUGAGUAACGCGUAGAUAACCUGUCUUCAUGUCUGGAAUAAUACGCCGAAAGGGGUACUAAUACCGGAUAUUCUUGCUUUUCAUAAGUUAUGCAAGCAAAGGUGGCCUCUGCAUAUGCUACUGCAUGAAGAGGGGUCUGCGUACCAUUAGCUAGUAGGUGGGGUAAUGGCCUACCUAGGCGACGAUGGUUAGCGGGUCUGAGAGGAUGAUCCGCCACACUGGCACUGGAACACGGGCCAGACUCCUACGGGAGGCAGCAGUGAGGAAUAUUGCGCAAUGGGGAAACCCUGACGCAGCGACGCCGCGUGAGUGAGGAAGGCCUUCGGGUCGUAAAGCUCUGUCAAGAGGAAAGAAGUGUACAAUGGCUAAUACCUGUUGUAUUUGACGGUACCUCUAAAGGAAGCACCGGCUAACUCCGUGCCAGCCGCCGC